This 466-nucleotide ribosomal RNA is filed under the name uncultured bacterium. RNAcentral describes it as "bacterial SSU rRNA". It matches the Rfam family "Bacterial small subunit ribosomal RNA", at positions 338 to 795 of the family's 1533-position model. The record is from RNAcentral.
CCUACGGGCUGCAGCAGUAGGGAAUCUUCCGCAAUGGACGAAAGUCUGACGGAGCAACGCCGCGUGAGUGAUGAAAGUUUUCGGAUCGUAAAGCUCCGUUGUUAGGGAAGAACAAGUGCCGUUCAAAUAGGGCGGCACCUUGACGGUACCUAACCAGAAAGCCACGGCUAACUACGUGCCAGCAGCCGCGGUAAUACGUAGGUGGCAAGCGUUGUCCGGAAUUAUUGGGCGUAAAGGGCUCGCAGGCGGUUUCUUAAGUCUGAUGUGAAAGCCCCCGGCUCAACCGGGGAGGGUCAUUGGAAACUGGGGAACUUGAGUGCAGAAAAGGAGAGCGGAAUUCCACGUGUAGCGGUGAAAUGCGUAGAGAUGUGGAGGAACACCAGUGGCGAAGGCGGCUCUCUGGUCUGUAACUGACGCUGAGGCGCGAAAGCGUGGGGAGCAAACAGGAUUAGAUACCCGGGUAGUC